GCCCUUGAAUAUAUCAAAGGUGUAACCUGCCCAAUGAUUUUUAACUCAAUAAAAAUACUAAUUUUAUAAAAGAAUUUAAAGGACGCAGUAUCCUGACUGUGAUAAUGUAGCAUAAUCACUCGCCAUUUAAUUAAUGGAUAGUAUGAAUGGUUGAACGAAUAUUACACUGUCUUGGGUAAAAAAUAUAUGAAAUUAAAACAAUAGUAAAGAUGCUAUUUAAAACUGUAAGACGAAAAGACCCUAUAGAGCUUAACUACAACCUCCCUCAAAAAGAAUAGUAAUAAAACCUAAAAAACAGGAAGGCUGGUAGUUUAGUUGGGGCGACUAUCUUUUAAAAGAAACAAAGAUAAGCAACGUUAAUACCUUAACUUAUUGUAAAAUUAAUACAUUUAACAAUUAUAAAAAUAGGCUAUAAUGACCCGUUAAUUGAUUAUAAAAUCACUAACGAUCAAUAAAUAAAAGCUACCUUAGGGAUAACAGGAUAAUUUCAUUUUAGAGAUCUUAUCGAAAAUGAAGUUUGUCACCUCUAUGUUGAAUUAAGAUAACCUGAUGGUGCAGAAGCUAUCAAAGGUAGGUCUGUUCUACCUAUAAAAUCUU
Molecule: ribosomal RNA, 597 nt
Filed under: Perarella schneideri
Lineage: Eukaryota; Metazoa; Cnidaria; Hydrozoa; Anthoathecata; Cytaeididae
Description: partial 16S ribosomal RNA
Rfam family: Bacterial large subunit ribosomal RNA
Source: RNAcentral